Molecule: ribosomal RNA, 253 nt
Filed under: uncultured bacterium
Lineage: Bacteria
Description: partial 16S ribosomal RNA
Rfam family: Bacterial small subunit ribosomal RNA
Source: RNAcentral
UACGGAGGGGGCUAGCGUUGUUCGGAAUUACUGGGCGUAAAGCGUGCGCAGGCGGGCUUUUAAGCCAGACGUGAAAUCCCCGGGCUUAACCUGGGAAUGGCGUUUGGGACUGGGAGUCUGGAGUGCGGCAGAGGAGACUGGAAUUCCUGGUGUAGCAGUGAAAUGCGUAGAUAUCAGGAGGAACACCGAUGGCGAAGGCAGGUCUCUGGGCUGACACUGACGCUCAUGCACGAAAGCGUGGGGAGCAAACAGG